Molossus molossus (Pallas's mastiff bat) is the source of this 166-nucleotide small nuclear RNA. RefSeq annotates it as U1 spliceosomal RNA. The transcript has a single exon. The record is from RefSeq and is a predicted model, not a curated record. Lineage: Eukaryota; Metazoa; Chordata; Mammalia; Chiroptera; Molossidae.
AUACUUAACGUGGCAGGGGUGAUACCAUGAUCAGGAAGGUAGUUUUUCGUGGCAGAGACUUAUCUAUUGCACUCUGGAUGUGCUGACCCCUGCAAUUUCCCCAAAUGUGUGAAACUCAGCAGCAUAAUUUGUGGUAGUGGGGGGACUGUGUUCAUGCUGUCCCCUG